This is a long non-coding RNA of Camponotus floridanus (Florida carpenter ant), 153 nucleotides long. RefSeq lists it as uncharacterized. The transcript is spliced from 3 exons. NCBI's taxonomy places the organism in Eukaryota, Metazoa, Arthropoda, Insecta, Hymenoptera, Formicidae. The record is from RefSeq and is a predicted model, not a curated record.
CUAGGAGAGGCAUCAGGCUCCGGCAGAGCAACCUUCUGAUGUAACCAACCCAGAUGAUCUGAGAGGAAGAGCAGGCCUAGGAAAAGGCAUCUUGCACCAGCGGAACAACCUGAUGACAACAUAGCUUCAAUAUCAAUUCCGCUGUUGCGCAUC